GCGUUCGUAGCUCAGCUGGAUAGAGCGACGGACUUCGAAUCCGUAGGUCGCCGGUUCGACUCCGGCCGGACGCA
Molecule: transfer RNA, 74 nt
Filed under: Spirochaetae bacterium HGW-Spirochaetae-7
Lineage: Bacteria; Pseudomonadati; Spirochaetota
Description: tRNA-Arg
Rfam family: tRNA
About the family: Transfer RNA (tRNA) molecules are approximately 80 nucleotides in length. Their secondary structure includes four short double-helical elements and three loops (D, anti-codon, and T loops). Further hydrogen bonds mediate the characteristic L-shaped molecular structure. tRNAs have two regions of fundamental functional importance: the anti-codon, which is responsible for specific mRNA codon recognition, and the 3' end, to which the tRNAs corresponding amino acid is attached (by aminoacyl-tRNA synthetases). tRNAs cope with the degeneracy of the genetic code in two manners: having more than one tRNA (with a specific anti-codon) for a particular amino acid; and 'wobble' base-pairing, i.e. permitting non-standard base-pairing at the 3rd anti-codon position.
Source: RNAcentral